Molecule: ribosomal RNA, 519 nt
Filed under: uncultured eukaryote
Lineage: Eukaryota
Description: SSU rRNA
Rfam family: Eukaryotic small subunit ribosomal RNA
Source: RNAcentral
AGGGCACCACCAGGAGUGGAGCCUGCGGCUUAAUUUGACUCAACACGGGAAAACUCACCCGGCCCGGACACUGGAAGGAUUGACAGAUUGAGAGCUCUUUCUUGAUUCAGUGGGUGGUGGUGCAUGGCCGUUCUUAGUUGGUGGAGUGAUUUGUCUGGUUAAUUCCGAUAACGAACGAGACUCUAGCCUACUAAAUAGAUCGUCGGCUUACAAACGCCGGCGAGACUUCUUAGAGGGACAGGCGGUGAUUCAACCGCACGAAACAGAGCAAUAACAGGUCUGUGAUGCCCUUAGAUGUCCGGGGCCGCACGCGCGCUACACUGAAGUGAUCAGCGUGCUUUUUCAACCUACUCUGUCAAGAGUGGGGAACCCAAUGAACCUUCUUCGUGAUUGGAUAGGGGAUUGUAAUUAUUCCCCUUGAACGAGGAAUUCCCAGUAAGCGCGAGUCAUAAGCUCGCGUUGAUUACGUCCCUGCCCUUUGUACACACCGCCCGUCGCUACUACCGAUUGAAUGUUUUA